RNAcentral lists this ribosomal RNA (440 nucleotides) under Priestia flexa. RNAcentral's name for it is "bacterial SSU rRNA". It matches the Rfam family "Bacterial small subunit ribosomal RNA", at positions 959 to 1397 of the family's 1533-position model. The record is from RNAcentral. Lineage: Bacteria; Bacillati; Bacillota; Bacilli; Caryophanales; Bacillaceae.
ACGCGAAGAACCUUACCAGGUCUUGACAUCCUCUGACAACUCUAGAGAUAGAGCGUUCCCCUUCGGGGGACAGAGUGACAGGUGGUGCAUGGUUGUCGUCAGCUCGUGUCGUGAGAUGUUGGGUUAAGUCCCGCAACGAGCGCAACCCUUGAUCUUAGUUGCCAGCAUUAAGUUGGGCACUCUAAGGUGACUGCCGGUGACAAACCGGAGGAAGGUGGGGAUGACGUCAAAUCAUCAUGCCCCUUAUGACCUGGGCUACACACGUGCUACAAUGGAUGGUACAAAGGGCUGCAAGACCGCGAGGUCAAGCCAAUCCCAUAAAACCAUUCUCAGUUCGGAUUGUAGGCUGCAACUCGCCUACAUGAAGCUGGAAUCGACUAGUAAUCGCGGAUCAGCAUGCCGCGGUGAAUACGUUCCCGGGCCUUGUACACACCGCCCGU